UACGGAGGGAGCUAGCGUUGCUCGGAAUGACUGGGCGUAAAGGGCGCGUAGGCGGCUUGUAUAGUCGGAUGUGAAAUUCCUGGGCUUAACCUGGGGGCUGCAUACGAGACGUAUGGGCUUGAGUGCGGAAGAGGGUCGUGGAAUUCCCAGUGUAGAGGUGAAAUUCGUAGAUAUUAGGAAGAACACCAGUGGCGAAGGCGGCUCACUGGCCCGGUACUGACGCUGAGGCGCGAAAGCGUGGGGAGCAAACAGG
RNAcentral lists this ribosomal RNA (253 nucleotides) under uncultured bacterium. RNAcentral describes it as "partial 16S ribosomal RNA". It matches the Rfam family "Bacterial small subunit ribosomal RNA", at positions 524 to 776 of the family's 1533-position model. The record is from RNAcentral.